ACUCACCCUGAUCAAAAGGAUUUUCAUGCAACUCAACAGCCUGUCAGCCAAUCAAAAAAAAAUUCUCAGGUAUGGACCAAGACGAUAACAUAGGAAGUUCCUGAACUUCUUCCUCCCAUGGACACACGGGCGAAUAAGAAAAUGCAUUAAAAAAGGAAGAUCAGCCCUGAGCUAACAUCUGUUGCCAAUCCUCUUUUUGCUGAGGAAGACUGGCCCUGAGGUAACAUCCGUGCCCAUCUUCCUCCACUUUGUAUGUGGGACGCCUGCCACAGCAUGGCUUGCCAAGUGGUGCCAUGUCCGCACCUUGGAUCCAAACCAGCGAACCCCGGGCCGCCUGAAGUGGAACGUUCAAACUUGACUGCUGCGCCACCAGCCCAGCCCCGAAAGUGUGUUUAUUUUUAAGGACAAAAGACUCAGAAAGAAAUUUUGACCUUUCCUCUGACUGCCUAAAAGAAUUUAAGAUGGAAGGCAUGUCCCAGGAAGGAGCUAUCACCACAGGCAGUGGAUCAGUUGGGGUUAAGUCAGAACAGAGUCUACAUGACAUAGAUUAAUUAACAGACGUUUUUGAAGAGCUGAGAAGCCAAACAGAGGAUAAUAAGGCUACCAAGAUUUUAGCAGCAAUUGGAAUCUUGAGAAAGAAAAGGAAAAUGUGGUGCUAUGAAAACUCAAAAUCCAGGAUGACCAGAUGAGAGAUGAAAACAUGGAUAAGAUGGUCCAGUGACUCCAUGGCCUCCCAUGGUAUCAUGUGCACAGUGGCCAUCUGGAAGAAAUGGGAACCAUUGAAGAGAUGGAGCCAUUCUCAGAAAUGUGGACAGAAAAAGAAAAAGGGGGCAAGAAAUGCCCCAGCUUCUUGCUCCCUCCUUCUCUCCCUCCCACCUACCACCAGUAACGCUCUGUGGCAGGACCCAGACUGGGGCCUGGAUGUGGGUGUCAGGACAGAGUUGUCUGUGAGCAUUAGCCCCACUG
RNAcentral lists this long non-coding RNA (966 nucleotides) under Equus caballus (horse). RNAcentral's name for it is "lncRNA (ENSECAG00000059164.1)". The record is from RNAcentral. Lineage: Eukaryota; Metazoa; Chordata; Mammalia; Perissodactyla; Equidae.